CGCUCAUUUCUGUUCAUUUUCUGGUUCACUUCAUGGGGCUUCCCCUGGGUCUUAUUUGGAUUGUUAGAAUCAGAAACGACAGCCACUGAACCCACUUAAAUCUAAGUCAAGCAUUGCAUGAACUGUUCUUAGGGACCCCGGAGUCAUUUUGGAAGGGGGAGUGGAGGAGGCAUUUCACUAGGGGAAGACCUAGCACCUCUUUCCUUUGAAAAGUUUUAGCAUCAGCUGAAAGAUGCUGAAGGACCCUCGGCAGCUGCAAAUGGCCUGAGGAGUACACACCCUAUAGCCUGGAUGCGGCUAUGUGCUUGGAAGUUGGUUAUCCUACGGCCUGGGCUAUAUUCCAAUCUGGGUGAUCCCCGAGGACAGUGUUUCUUCAGUGUGUGUUCGGCAUCCAUCACAACCGGCAUAGACCCAGGUGUUCGUGAAAAGAGCAGAUUCUGGAACUCCACUGAAGCCUUAAUGACCCCCGCCCUUGGAGGUGGGGCCCAGGAGUGUGGCCUUUCUUUAACAUUCUCAGGGUGCCUUUCCCUUUGCCUUAAUCUGUCAGCCACUGAAAGGCAGAGGGACUUCAGCCAGCUCGGACUUGGGAACAGUGUCAGGCAGCAGAGCGUCCCUUCCAGCAGGCAAGAAUGAUGGCUAGGGAAUGGCCAAGAGGAAGCAGUGACCAGUGGCCUUUGGCUAUAAAACAGCCUCGGGCAAGUGCCAGAGCUGGAAGCAAAGUCGGGCUCAAAAAAAAAAAACACAGCCUGGUUAUAUCUUGGCCUAGAGGUCCACUGGGCUUUUAAUACUUAAGUGGAAAACCAGAUAUGUUCUUCCCACACUCAACACCCUCUUCAAUGUCCAUCCCCCACCCAGCAUCUCUCAUCCAACUUGUACUUUCCCCAAAGUGAUCAAGUGGAAAGUUUAAUCCAGGAAGAGAAGGGAUGGGGAGCUGCUGGGGUGGGGGGGAAAAACGAGUUGGUUGCCAUGGGAACCUUGCCUGCUGCAGGGUCUGAAUGGUUUUCUGUUUGCUGACGUCCAGUUCUUUAGGGCAGGCCCUGGCAUCAGCAGGGGCCUGGGCACCGCAUCCUCUGUGUCCCGUUUCCGGCAUCCGGCCCAGCGGCAUCCACCCUAACAGGUCUCCUGGUAGCAGGCAGGGUGUCCGGGACUGAAUGCUUCCUCCUGACCUCUUGUCCUGCCGCUGCUGCCCUCCCAAGCUGGGAAGUGAAGGAAAGCUGAGGGUGUUUCCCAACUCUUUGAAGAGAGAGUCCUUGUUUUUUCUUGCAUAUUAUUCUUUCUUUCCUCAUCAUCCAAACAUGAGCCCUUGGCCAUUUGCCUGUCUCCCUGCUGGCCAGCUGUCCUUGCCAUUCUCAGUUCUGAAUUUCUAUUUAUCUCACAAGGACUGCAGAGUUUGUUUUCAUCCAGCUUGGUACACCGACUGAGCUGCUGUCACAAGUUUGCUCUCUGAACUAUCGCCUCCAGCAGCUGGUGAGGAAAGGCUGGAAAGAUGGCCAUACACAUGAUCUAGGGAGAGGUCUGAUGGUUUUAGCUUAUUUGAAUGGUUUAUUAGACCCAGAUGAGGAGCGACCGAAGCCUCUAGGUGCCUACUCAUGCUGCAUAUGGAGUACAUGCCGUCAUGCUGUGGGGCUACCAUGCUCACAUACCAAUGUCUCCCUCUGCCAGUUGUUUCCACUACUCUUGCUUAGAAAGUCCUUGCCACCCAUUUUUACUUUGGCUUAUCAAGCCCUGAAUAUACCAGCACCUGCUUUCCUCCCUAGUGGCUUACCGUGCAUCUCUCCUUUUCAUAGUCACCUUGCACCAGGCAAAAAGGCCUUUGUGCAGUUACUGUACAGACCUGGCAGUUUUCGGUUGCAGGGCCUUUGCACAUCAACGCCCCACUCCCAGCCCCAAUCCUCCCUUCCAGCACAUUCUUACCUGGCUUCCUAUAGUUAAUUCCUUCUAAUCUUUCAGGUCCUAUCACACAUCAGCUCCUCAGUCAGGCCUUUCUGGAUCAUUCUAAUGUGCCCCCUCCUUGUUCUGUAUAUAAGCACCCUUCUCGUUCUUCACAGCAUUUGUGAUAUUUGUUUACUUUAUAUUUUCCUACUCUUGACUAAACUAUGAAGGCCAAUGAGUCAGGGACUAUUUAUGCUUCGGAGGCGUAAAAGUUAAGCCAACUUUAUCAUACUGCCUGGUGCCAUAUUUAUUGAAUAAAUGAAAUAGUAGCUCGUUUCUACCCAUCCUUCCAAAUUCUACCUGGAAGGCAAUUGCCUCCUUGUGUAGGUCUUUCCUGACUGCCCUCCACGAGCUCCCCUCCCAGGCUUUGGUGGGGCGUCUGCCCUGAGUGUUCCCCUGCACCCCAGGCCUACCUCUCUGUGUGCUUUAUGGUGCCUCAUUGCUUGCAGGAAGGUCCUUUUCUUUAAGCAGAUGGUAGGCUUUGUAAGGGAAGGAUUAUAACUCAUUUCUAGAAAAAUGUCUGACACACAGAGAUUGCCUAACCUGACCAAUGUUGGUUAAAUGCAUAAGUGAAUGAAUAAAAGACAGGUACUAUUUCAGAGAUGUAUGGAAAACUCAGAGUGGAGCUAGUACCUACUUCAAAAAGGAAAAAAAUGUCUUUCGAAAAGUCUCAGAAGAAACAUUUUGUACAAUUAGGUUCUCACGUUUCCUGGUCUUUCUUUCUUUUUUUUUUUUUUGCCUUUUUAGGGCCACACGCAAGGCAUAUGGAGGUUCCCAGGCUAGGGGUCAAAUCAGAGCUAUAGCUGCCAGCCUAUGCCACAACAACACAGAUUCGAGUUGCAUCUGCGACCUACACCACAGCUCAUGGCAAUGCCGGAUUAUUUACCCACUGAGCGAGGGCAGGGAUUGAAUGUGCGUCCUCAUGGAUACUAUUCAGAUUUGUUUCUGCUGAGCCACAACGGGAACUCCUCCUGGUCCCCCAUUUUAUCUGGAGAUAUUCCAGUAACCUAGGUAAGCAACAAUCUGGUAAAUUCUUAAAGAUAAAUUAAACCAAGAUGUCCCAACUCUUCCAACUAAAAUCUUCAAUCAUUACAGGAUUUUGGAUGCUUGUUCCAAAAGCUCUUUUUUUUUUUAGGGCCACACUUGCAGCAUACGGAAGUUUCCAGGCUAGGGGAUGAAUCAGAGCUACUAGCCUACGCCACAGCCUACGCCAUAUCUGAGCCACAUCUGCAACCUACACCACGGUUUUGGCAACACCAUAUCCUUAAUCCACUGAGUGAGGCCAGGGAUCAAACCAGCUUCCUCAUAGACACUAUGUCAGGUUCUUAAACUGCUGAGCCACAACAGGAAAUCCUUUUUCCCAAAUCUUGAAACAAGGGUGGGAAGGUGAAUUAUAGUCACCUCUUUGGGCCUCAGUUUCCUCAUCCGUAAUAAGAAAGAUGGAUGACAUCAUCUCUAAAGUAUCUUCCAGUUC
Molecule: long non-coding RNA, 3406 nt
Filed under: Sus scrofa (pig)
Lineage: Eukaryota; Metazoa; Chordata; Mammalia; Artiodactyla; Suidae
Description: lncRNA (ENSSSCG00000055992.1)
Source: RNAcentral